RNAcentral lists this unclassified non-coding RNA (304 nucleotides) under plant metagenome. RNAcentral describes it as "partial contains 5.8S ribosomal RNA, internal transcribed spacer 2, and large subunit ribosomal RNA". The stretch from base 1 to 105 matches the Rfam family "5.8S ribosomal RNA", at positions 50 to 154 of the family's 154-position model. The record is from RNAcentral.
GAAAUGCGAUAAGUAAUGUGAAUUGCAGAAUUCAGUGAAUCAUCGAAUCUUUGAACGCACAUUGCGCCUAUUAGUAUUCUAGUAGGCAUGCCUGUUCGAGCGUCAUUUCAACCAUCAAGCCCCCCGGCUUGUGUUGGGGACCUGCGGCUGCCGCAGGCCCUGAAAAGCAGUGGCGGGCUCGCUGUCACACCGAGCGUAGUAGCAUACAUCUCGCUCUGGGCGUGCUGCGGGUUCCGGCCGUUAAACCACCUUCGUAACCCAAGGUUGACCUCGGAUCAGGUAGGAAGACCCGCUGAACUUAAGC